Molecule: ribosomal RNA, 1165 nt
Filed under: Orthetrum pruinosum
Lineage: Eukaryota; Metazoa; Arthropoda; Insecta; Odonata; Libellulidae
Description: partial 16S ribosomal RNA
Source: RNAcentral
AUAAUUAAAGUCUUACUUAUUUUGGUUUAUUUUUAUUUGAGAAAAAUCUUUAUGUUUAGUAUAAUUAAAGAAAAACUUUUAUUGUUAUAGUAAAAUAGUACUGUGAAGGAAUUGAUGAAAUAAUUUAAAAUUCAUUUUUAUAUAAGUAUGUUUAAUUUACAGUACCUUUUGUAUCAGGGUUGAUCAAUUAAUUUAAGAUAUAUUGUUAUCUCGAUUUUAAAAGAGCUAAUUUAUUAUUUUAUUUAAUGUUGAAUAAUUAUUAAUAAUAUAAAUUAGUGAAGAAAUUUUAUUCGAUUUUAAAGGUAUCUAGUUUUUUAAGAAAUAAAUUUAAUUUAGUCUCAUUAUUUAAUUUUUACAUUAUUAUAUAAGUUAUUAAUUGGGAUAAAAUUUAUAGGGGAUAAGCUCUAUAUUUUUCUAUAAAAUUUUAAUUAAUUAAUUUAUGUAGGGUUAGAAGUAUCCAUCAUUGGAAAGUAUGUUAUAAUUUAUAUUUGCUAUUAAUUAAUUUUAUUUUUUUUAGAAUAUUAUUAAAAUAUUAAAGUAAACUUUUUACUUUAAUUAAUAAUGAUUAAAUUAGUAUAAAAUAUUGUUUAUUAUAUUAUAAAUAUUUAUGAUAAAAUAAGGAACUCGGCAAAUAUAGUUCUCGCCUGUUUACCAAAAACAUGGCCUUUUGAAUUUAAUAUAAGGUCUGACCUGCCCAGUGAUGAUUUUAACGGCCGCGGUAUACUGACCGUGCAAAGGUAGCAUAAUCAUUAGUCUUUUAAUAGAGGGCUGGAAUGAAAGGUUUCACGAGGAACUGACUGUCUCAUUUUAUUUGUUUUAAAAUUUAAUUUUUUAGUUAAAAAGCUAAAAUUUUAUUGGUAGACGAGAAGACCCUAUAGAGCUUUACAUGAACUUAAUUAAAUAUUUUUAUAUUAAUAUUUUUAUUUAUCUUUAUGUUUUGUUGGGGUGACAAAAAUAUAUAAUUAACUUUUUUAUUUACUUUACAUUGAUUUAUGAAUAUUAGAUCCAUUCUUAUUGAUUAUUAGACUAAGUUACCUUAGGGAUAACAGCGUAAUCCUCCUCCAGAGUUCAUAUUUACAGGAUGGGCUUGCGACCUCGAUGUUGGAUUAAGAUAAUAGUUAGGUGUAGCCGCUUAAUUAAUAGGUCUGUUCGACCUUUAAACCCU